Long non-coding RNA from Arvicola amphibius (Eurasian water vole), 918 nucleotides. RefSeq lists it as uncharacterized. The record is from RefSeq and is a predicted model, not a curated record. Lineage: Eukaryota; Metazoa; Chordata; Mammalia; Rodentia; Cricetidae. The transcript has 2 exons.
CCGCCUCGCAGGCACGGGCGCUCCCGCUGCCCGCCGGGUCCCCUGGCGCGGGGAAGGCCGGUCCCCCGGUGUCCCCUCGCAAACACGGCGCGGGCCGCGCUCACUCGGACGCGCUCUGCUCCAGAAGGCUAACCGCUCCGCCCUCGGCGGGCCCGGCCUCCGUCCGCGGCCCACAAUCCCCCGCUCGGGGGGGUUUCCGGUGGCGAGGCUCGGAGCCGCGCACCUUCUCUGCGCCCGUCGGUCCUGGGCAACGCUUCUCUCCCCGCAGGCUAAUAGUUUUCCCACCGCCAAGUCGUAAGAAUAAUGCCUUAAAAAAGAUUCGGUUUGUUAUGCGAGCAGCAUCCCAAUAGUACACAAGUAUAUCCAAAAUAGCUACGCAAUUAAAAAAAAAAAAAGUCGGGCGUGGUUGAGGCAGGAGGAUUCCAACUCCAGUCUGGGCUACAUAGCGAGAUUCCGUCUCAAAAACUACGGAGGAGGAAAACAGUGGAGUGUAGUAAUCCGUACAUUUGGGAGGCUUAGGCCGUUUCCAGCAGUCUAAGAACAACAUAGUCGUGUUCACCACAGCAUCAGCGCCACUCCUGAGCACCAGCCUGUCGGACACAGUUCAGAGAUGGAGCGUGGGAGAAUUCUGAGUGUUUGUGAGGAAGCUUCAAGACACUGAGAGUCUUGGGACCUUAGUUCUUCAAACCACAGAAUUGUUCUUGCAGUGUGUUUCCGUGCUCCUCCCAGGCAUAGCAGUGAGCUCACUUCAGAUUGUUCAUUACAGGUGGUAUGGUUAUUUGAAUAUGUGCCUCUAAGGAAAAGGAAAAUCAUGGUUUUGCCACACGCAGUUUAUCCUAAUAAUUGUACACUUUCGUCACGUGAUUCUUCUAACCCUCAGUAUAAAUUGCUCUGAAUAAAGUUGGCUAUUGCAUGAGA